GAUAAACGCUGGCGGCGUGCCUAACACAUGCAAGUCGAACGCGCUUUCUCGCAUGCUUCGUUAAGAAGCGAGCAAGAGAGCGAGUGGCGGACGGGUGAGUAACACAUGGGUCACCUACCUUUCAGUGAGGAAUACCGACGAGAAAUCGUCGACAAGACCGCAUAUGCUCUUUGCAAAGAGAGCAAAGUCCUUUCGCAAGAAGGGACGCUGGAAGAUGGGCCUGUGGCCGAUUAGCUAGUUGGUAGGGUAAUGGCCUACCAAGGCGACGAUCGGUAGCUGGUCUGAGAGGACGAUCAGCCACACUGGGAUUGAGAACGGCCCAGACUCCUACGGGA
RNAcentral lists this ribosomal RNA (335 nucleotides) under uncultured bacterium. Its description in RNAcentral is "bacterial SSU rRNA". It matches the Rfam family "Bacterial small subunit ribosomal RNA", at positions 28 to 346 of the family's 1533-position model. The record is from RNAcentral.